Molecule: long non-coding RNA, 248 nt
Filed under: Mytilus galloprovincialis (Mediterranean mussel)
Lineage: Eukaryota; Metazoa; Mollusca; Bivalvia; Mytilida; Mytilidae
Source: RNAcentral
GUUUUUUUGUUUGGUUUGGAAAAUUCGUUUUGUUUCAUUUUCCUUGUGAAAUGUAUGAUGUUAAUAAAAGGAGAUCAAGGGUAUCUUACAUAUCUGUAUAUUCUUAAAGUCAAAAUGAGUGCUGUAACUCAUACGAUUCAUUGUGAAUAAGGUAGAAUGUCUAUGACCAUUGAAAAGCAGUAUAUAAUAGUCAAAUAUUGGGUUAAAAGAUUAAAGAAAAUUGUAUAUUAAAGAACUGCUAUGAUGCG